This 24-nucleotide non-coding RNA is filed under the name Arabidopsis thaliana (thale cress). The record is from RNAcentral. Lineage: Eukaryota; Viridiplantae; Streptophyta; Magnoliopsida; Brassicales; Brassicaceae.
UCUAAACCUUUUUCGGAGAAAAGA